Molecule: ribosomal RNA, 122 nt
Filed under: Geobacter sp. enrichment culture
Lineage: Bacteria; Pseudomonadati; Thermodesulfobacteriota; Desulfuromonadia; Geobacterales; Geobacteraceae
Description: partial 16S ribosomal RNA
Source: RNAcentral
GGGCGCAGCCCUGACGCAGCAACGCCGCGUGAGUGAUGAAGGCCCUCGGGUUGUAAAGCUCUGUCUAGAGGAAAGAAAUGGACGGUGGUUAAUACCCAUUGUACUGAACGGUACCCGCCAAG